RNAcentral lists this ribosomal RNA (301 nucleotides) under uncultured bacterium. Its description in RNAcentral is "partial 16S ribosomal RNA". It matches the Rfam family "Bacterial small subunit ribosomal RNA", at positions 509 to 809 of the family's 1533-position model. The record is from RNAcentral.
CAGCCGCCACGGUAAUACAGAGGGUGCGAGCGUUAAUCGGAUUUACUGGGCGUAAAGCGUGCGUAGGCGGCUUCUUAAGUCGGAUGUGAAAUCCCUGAGCUUAACUUAGGAAUUGCAUUCGAUACUGGGAAGCUAGAGUAUGGGAGAGGAUGGUAGAAUUCCAGGUGUAGCGGUGAAAUGCGUAGAGAUCUGGAGGAAUACCGAUGGCGAAGGCAGCCAUCUGGCCUAAUACUGACGCUGAGGUACGAAAGCAUGGGGAGCAAACAGGAUUAGAUACCCCCGUAGUCCCUGUCUCUUAUAU